RNAcentral lists this ribosomal RNA (94 nucleotides) under Salifa motokawai. RNAcentral describes it as "partial 16S ribosomal RNA". Lineage: Eukaryota; Metazoa; Annelida; Clitellata; Hirudinida; Salifidae. The record is from RNAcentral.
AUUAAAUAACAUAUAAAUUAAAACAAAUUUAAGAUAAUAUAAAUAAAAACAAGUUACAGAGAUGGAAAACAAAAUAUUAAUAAGUAAUAAAAAU